This 497-nucleotide ribosomal RNA is filed under the name uncultured bacterium. Its description in RNAcentral is "partial 16S ribosomal RNA". It matches the Rfam family "Bacterial small subunit ribosomal RNA", at positions 28 to 507 of the family's 1533-position model. The record is from RNAcentral.
GAUGAACGCUGGCGGCGUGCCUAAUACAUGCAAGUCGAGCGAACGGACGAGAAGCUUGCUUCUCUGAUGUUAGCGGCGGACGGGUGAGUAACACGUGGAUAACCUACCUAUAAGGCUGGGAUAACUUCGGGAAACCGGAGCUAAUACCGGAUAAUAUUUUGAACCGCAUGGUUCAAAAGUGAAAGACGGUCUUGCUGUCACUUAUAGAUGGAUCCGCGCUACAUUAGCUAGUUGGUAAGGUAACGGCUUACCAAGGCAACGAUGCAUAGCCGACCUGAGAGGGUGAUCGGCCACACUGGAACUGAGACACGGUCCAGACUCCUACGGGAGGCAGCAGUAGGGAAUCUUCCGCAAUGGGCGAAAGCCUGACGGAGCAACGCCGCGUGAGUGAUGAAGGUCUUCGGAUCGUAAAACUCUGUUAUUAGGGAAGAACAUAUGUGUAAGUAACUGUGCACAUCUUGACGGUACCUAAUCAGAAAGCCACGGCUAACUACGUG